Molecule: unclassified non-coding RNA, 363 nt
Filed under: uncultured bacterium
Lineage: Bacteria
Description: contains 16S-23S intergenic spacer region
Source: RNAcentral
UCCCCGUUACCGGGGCAGUCUAGCUAGAGAAAUUCAACUAACUAUAAGGGUUGCGCUCGUUGAUGGACUUAACCAAACAUCUCACGACACGAGCUGACGACGGCCAUGCAACACCUGUCACUUGGCUUCCGAAGACACUUUCUCCUUUCGGAGAAAUUCCAAGGAUGUCAAACCCUGGUAAGGUUCUUCGCUUACCGUCGAAUUAAACAACACGCUCCACCGCUUGUGCGGGUCCCCGUCAAUUCCUUUAUGUUUUAAGCUUGCGCUCGUACUCCACAGGCGGGACGCUUAACGCGUUAGCUUCGCUACUAAAAGGGUCGAUACUUCUAACAGCUAGCGUCCAUAGUUUACAGCGUGGACUAC